AGAGUUUGAUCCUGGCUCAGAUGAACGCUGGCGGCAUGCCUAACACAUGCAAGUCGAACGGCAGCAUUGUCUAGCUUGCUAGACAGAUGGCGAGUGGCGAACGGGUGAGUAACGCGUAGGAAUAUGCCUUGAAGUGGGGGAUAACCUGGGGAAACCCAGGCUAAUACCGCGUAAUCUCUUCGGAGGAAAGCUAGGGACCUUAUGGCCUGGCGCUCUAAGAUUAGCCUGCGUCCGAUUAGCUAGUUGGUGAGGUAAGAGCUCACCAAGGCGACGAUCGGUAGCUGGUCUGAGAGGAUGAUCAGCCACACUGGGACUGAGACACGGCCCAGACUCCUACGGGAGGCAGCAGUGGGGAAUAUUGGACAAUGGGGGCAACCCUGAUCCAGCAAUGCCGCGUGUGUGAAGAAGGCCUGAGGGUUGUAAAGCACUUUCAGUGGGGAGGAGGAUUGCUAGGUUAAGAGCUAAGUAAUUGGACGUUACCCACAGAAGAAGCACCGGCUAACUCCGUGCCAGCAGCCGCGGUAAUACGGAGGGUGCGAGCGUUAAUCGGAAUUACUGGGCGUAAAGGGUGCGUAGGUUGUUUAUUAAGUUAUCUGUGAAAUCCCCGGGCUUAACCUGGGCAGGUAAGAUAAGACUGGUAGACUUGAGUAUAGGAGAGGGUAGUGGAAUUUCCGGUGUAGCGGUGAAAUGCGUAGAGAUCGGAAGGAACACCAGUGGCGAAGGCGGCUACCUGGCCUAAUACUGACACUGAGGCACGAAAGCGUGGGUAGCAAACAGGAUUAGAUACCCUGGUAGUCCACGCUGUAAACGCUGUCAACUAGCUGUUGGACAUAUAAAUAUGUUUAGUGGCGUAGCUAACGCGCUAAGUUGACCGCCUGGGGAGUACGGUCGCAAGAUUAAAACUCAAAGGAAUUGACGG
Molecule: ribosomal RNA, 919 nt
Filed under: uncultured Legionella sp.
Lineage: Bacteria; Pseudomonadati; Pseudomonadota; Gammaproteobacteria; Legionellales; Legionellaceae
Description: bacterial SSU rRNA
Rfam family: Bacterial small subunit ribosomal RNA
Source: RNAcentral